AGAGUUUGAUCCUGGCUCAGAUUGAACGCUGGCGGCAGGCCUAACACAUGCAAGUCGAGCGGAUGAGUGGAGCUUGCUCCAUGAUUCAGCGGCGGACGGGUGAGUAAUGCCUAGGAAUCUGCCUGGUAGUGGGGGACAACGUUUCGAAAGGAACGCUAAUACCGCAUACGUCCUACGGGAGAAAGCAGGGGACCUUCGGGCCUUGCGCUAUCAGAUGAGCCUAGGUCGGAUUAGCUAGUUGGUGAGGUAACGGCUCACCAAGGCGACGAUCCGUAACUGGUCUGAGAGGAUGAUCAGUCACACUGGAACUGAGACACGGUCCAGACUCCUACGGGAGGCAGCAGUGGGGAAUAUUGGACAAUGGGCGAAAGCCUGAUCCAGCCAUGCCGCGUGUGUGAAGAAGGUCUUCGGAUUGUAAAGCACUUUAAGUUGGGAGGAAGGGCAGUAAGUUAAUACCUUGCUGUUUUGACGUUACCGACAGAAUAAGCACCGGCUAACUUCGUGCCAGCAGCCGCGGUAAUACGAAGGGUGCAAGCAUUAAUCGGAAUUACUGGGCGUAAAGCGCGCGUAGGUGGUUCAGCAAGUUGGAUGUGAAAGCCCCGGGCUCAACCUGGGAACUGCAUCCAAAACUACUGAGCUAGAGUACGGUAGAGGGUGGUGGAAUUUCCUGUGUAGCGGUGAAAUGCGUAGAUAUAGGAAG
This 700-nucleotide ribosomal RNA is filed under the name uncultured bacterium. RNAcentral's name for it is "bacterial SSU rRNA". It matches the Rfam family "Bacterial small subunit ribosomal RNA", at positions 8 to 703 of the family's 1533-position model. The record is from RNAcentral.